RNAcentral lists this unclassified non-coding RNA (362 nucleotides) under Hevea brasiliensis (rubber tree). Lineage: Eukaryota; Viridiplantae; Streptophyta; Magnoliopsida; Malpighiales; Euphorbiaceae. The record is from RNAcentral.
GCACAGUGUAACCACGUGCAUUCCGAAGGUUGACAUUAGCAACACCCAGUCCAAGAACCUCAGCAACAACCUUGGGGUCACAAUAUGCAACAGCAUAAUGAAGAGCGUAGGCUCCAUCUAAACUUAUGUCAGACUCAUUAAGUAAAAGCUUGACAAGUUCAACAUCAUCCGAAUCCAAUGCCUUGUAUAUCCUAUUUUUUCUCUUUUCAUGCAACGGAUCCACGGUUAGAACCAUACUUUCAUCACCCUGACAUUUCAGCCGCGAUAACUUAAUACUCUCUGCAACUUUAAAGGGAACCUCCUUCUCAAUACAUGUGCUUUCAAGAUCUGAUCGCGCUACUCUAUCAACGCAAUGAGUGAGA